This 222-nucleotide ribosomal RNA is filed under the name uncultured bacterium. RNAcentral's name for it is "partial 16S ribosomal RNA". It matches the Rfam family "Bacterial small subunit ribosomal RNA", at positions 29 to 233 of the family's 1533-position model. The record is from RNAcentral.
AACGAACGCUGGCGGCGUGGAUAAGACAUGCAAGUCGAACGGGAUUCCUUUCGGUAGCAAUACUGAGAGGAAUUUAGUGGCGAACGGGUGCGUAACACGUGGGGAAUCUGCCGAGAAGUGGGGGAUAGCUCGUCGAAAGGACGAAUUAAUACCGCAUAUGAUCAGCCAAGACAUCUUGGCGACAUCAAAGCCGGGGCAACCUGGCGCUUCUUGAUGACCCCG